RNAcentral lists this long non-coding RNA (599 nucleotides) under Equus caballus (horse). RNAcentral's name for it is "lncRNA (ENSECAG00000051367.1)". The record is from RNAcentral. Lineage: Eukaryota; Metazoa; Chordata; Mammalia; Perissodactyla; Equidae.
CCACCCUUCCCCGUGCUCAGCCCUAGUUGUUGGAGUGCAUCAGCUGAUUGGACUGAGAUGUCAAACGUGGAAAUAGGAACACAAGAAUAGAAAAGUCACCUUGCCAAGCUCUCCACACCCAGGAGAGAACUGAUUAGCCCUGAGUUAACAUCUGCUGCCAAUCCUCCUCUUUUUGCUGAGGAAGACUGGCCCUGAGCUCACAUCAGUGCCCAUCUUCCUGUACUUUAUAUCUGGGACACCUACCACAGCGUGGCUUGACAAGCAGUGCCAUGUCCACACCCGGGAUCUGAACCAGCGAACCCCGGGCCGCCGGAGUGGAACAUCUGCACUUAACUGCUGUACCACCAGGCUGGCCCCUAUCUUGUCUAUUCUGCGUCAUAAUAUACAGCUUUAUGUCAAUGUAGGAUGACAGCUCCAAAUGAAAAAUAAAACAAGUAUUUCAUGAGAGAUCAUCUUUGCUACUUAUUCAAGAUAUUCCAUGCCUUUUAAAAAAAGUUUAUUUCUUGAUUAUAAAGGGAACUCAUUUUCUAAUAUAAAAUUUAGAAAAUUAUGAUAAGUUUAGAGAACAAGGUAGGGUAACAUUAUUCUCUUUUUUUUAG